CUUCAAGUCAAUCCAGUACACAGAAGUUAUGUGCAAGAUGUUAGCAUGGACAACAUAGACUGAAAAACACAAUCAAGUUGCAGGGAUUGUGUUCCAAAACAUCUGCACAGAAUACAGGCUGGAUCACACUCAGUCCAGAUGGGAGAUAACACACAGGGCAAUUGAGAAUGACAGGGCUACAAUCUUGUGGGACUUCCAGAUCAAGACAGGCAAGCUGGUACUGGCCAACCACAAGUAAUAUGAG
Pelobates cultripes (western spadefoot toad) is the source of this 244-nucleotide non-coding RNA. The record is from the annotation of a GenBank genome assembly. Lineage: Eukaryota; Metazoa; Chordata; Amphibia; Anura; Pelobatidae.